RNAcentral lists this ribosomal RNA (747 nucleotides) under uncultured marine microorganism. Its description in RNAcentral is "bacterial SSU rRNA". It matches the Rfam family "Bacterial small subunit ribosomal RNA", at positions 19 to 802 of the family's 1533-position model. The record is from RNAcentral.
AUGGCUCAGAACGAACGUUGGCGGCACGCUUAAUACAUGCAAGUCGAACGAGAAACUUGGUUCGCCAAGUGGAAAGUGGCAGACGGUUGAGUAACGCGUGGGAAUCUACCUAGAGGUUCGGAAUAACUAUUGGAAACGAUAGCUAAUACCGGAUAAGCCCUUCGGGGGAAAGAUUUAUUGCCUUUAGAUGAGCCCGCGUCGGAUUAGCUAGUUGGUAAGGUAACGGCUUACCAAAGCUACGAUCCGUAGCUGAUCUGAGAGGAUGAUCAGCCAGAUUGGGACUGAGACACGGCCCAGACUCCUACGGGAGGCAGCAGUAGGGAAUAUUGCGCAAUGGGGGAAACCCUGACGCAGCGAUGCCGCGUGAGUGAAGAAGGCCUUAGGGUUGUAAAACUCUUUCAGUGGUGAAGAUAAUGACGGUAACCACAGAAGAAGCUCCGGCUAACUCCGUGCCAGCAGCCGCGGUAAUACGGAGGGGGCUAACGUUGUUCGGAAUUACUGGGCGUAAAGCGCGCGUAGGCGGAUUAGACAGUUGAGGGUGAAAUCCCGGAGCUUAACUUCGGAACUGCCCCCAAUACUACUAAUCUAGAGUUCGGAAGAGGUGAGUGGAAUUCCUAGUGUAGAGGUGAAAUUCGUAGAUAUUAGGAAGAACAUCAGAGGCGAAGGCGGCUCACUGGUCCGAUACUGACGCUGAGGUGCGAAAGCGUGNGGAGCAAACAGGAUUAGAUACCCUGGUAGUCCACGCCG